Molecule: regulatory RNA element, 333 nt
Organism: Cavia porcellus (domestic guinea pig)
Lineage: Eukaryota; Metazoa; Chordata; Mammalia; Rodentia; Caviidae
Rfam family: Mason-Pfizer monkey virus packaging signal
About the family: The packaging signal is located in the 5' UTR and is required for specific RNA encapsidation.
Source: Rfam
UGGCACCCAGCGUGGGGGCUCCUGGCACGGGGGAGUCAACGAGGGAGCUGUUCGAGAACACUGGCUAAAAGUGGAAACAAACUGAAUCAAGGACCGAGGCCAAAAGUGAAAGCAAACUGAAUCAAGGACCGAGGCCUGCAUGGACUACUGCCCAAUGUGCUGCCCCAGUCAUGGUAAGUGAAUGGCAACCCCAUUCCCUUUCCCAGAGAUGGGUCAAGCAUUGAGCGAACAUGAAUUGUUUGUGGGAGGCCUUAGUAAGGCAUUAAAGACAAGAGGGGUAAGGGUUAGAACAAAAGAAUUAUUGCAGUAUUUUCAAUUUAUUCAUUAAGUUUG